Molecule: ribosomal RNA, 162 nt
Filed under: Justicia unyorensis
Lineage: Eukaryota; Viridiplantae; Streptophyta; Magnoliopsida; Lamiales; Acanthaceae
Description: 5.8S ribosomal RNA
Rfam family: 5.8S ribosomal RNA (bases 1-79)
Source: RNAcentral
AAUCCCGUGAACCAUCGAGUUUUUGAACGCAAGUUGCGCCCGAAGCCUUCGGGCCGAGGGCACGCCUGCCUGGGCGUCACGCAUCGCGUCGCCCCCUCCCCUCGCUCCCUGGAGCGGGGGGCGGAUACUGGCCUCCCGUGCGCCUCGUCGCGCGGCCGGCCC